AGUGGACGCUGGCGGUAGGCCUAACACAUGCAAGUCGAACGGCAGCACAGUAAGAGCUUGCUCUUACGGGUGGCGAGUGGCGGACGGGUGAGGAAUACAUCGGAAUCUACUUUUUCGUGGGGGAUAACGUAGGGAAACUUACGCUAAUACCGCAUACGACCUACGGGUGAAAGCAGGGGAUCUUCGGACCUUGCGCGAUUGAAUGAGCCGAUGUCGGAUUAGCUAGUUGGCGGGGUAAAGGCCCACCAAGGCGACGAUCCGUAGCUGGUCUGAGAGGAUGAUCAGCCACACUGGAACUGAGACACGGUCCAGACUCCUACGGGAGGCAGCAGUGGGGAAUAUUGGACAAUGGGCGCAAGCCUGGUCCAGCCAUACCGCGUGGGUGAAGAAGGCCUUCGGGUUGUAAAGCCCUUUUGUUGGGAAAGAAAAGCAGCAGGUUAAUACCCCGCUGUUCUGACGGUACCCAAAGAAUAAGCACCGGCUAACUUCGU
This 491-nucleotide ribosomal RNA is filed under the name uncultured bacterium. Its description in RNAcentral is "partial 16S ribosomal RNA". It matches the Rfam family "Bacterial small subunit ribosomal RNA", at positions 29 to 506 of the family's 1533-position model. The record is from RNAcentral.